Molecule: non-coding RNA, 207 nt
Organism: Oryza glumipatula
Lineage: Eukaryota; Viridiplantae; Streptophyta; Magnoliopsida; Poales; Poaceae
Source: Rfam
AAUAAGUGCAGUUUUGCGCUAUUCAUGUUCAACGUUUGAUCGUUCGUCUUAUUUAAAAAUUUUUAUGAUUUGUAUUUGUAUUGUUAUUAGAUGAUAAAACAUGAAUAGUAUUUUAUAUGUGACUAAAUUAUUUUAAUUUUUUCAUAAAUUUUUUAAAUAAGAUGGAUGAUUAAACAUUGGAUACGGAAACCUACGACUGUAUUUAUU